Molecule: ribosomal RNA, 521 nt
Filed under: uncultured bacterium
Lineage: Bacteria
Description: bacterial SSU rRNA
Rfam family: Archaeal small subunit ribosomal RNA
Source: RNAcentral
AACCUCCGCAAUGUGAGAAAUCGCGACGGGGGGAUCCCAAGUGCCAUUCUUAACGGGAUGGCUUUUCAUUAGUGUAAAGAGCUUUUGGAAUAAGGGCUGGGCAAGACCGGUGCCAGCCGCCGCGGUAACACCGGCAGCUCUAGUGGUAGCAGUUUUUAUUGGGCCUAAAGCGUCCGUAGCCGGUUUAAUAAGUCUCUGGUGAAAUCCUGUAGCUUAACUGUGGGAAUUGCUGGAGAUACUAUUAGACUUGAGACCGGGAGAGGUUAGAGGUACUCCCAGGGUAGAGGUGAAAUUCUGUAAUCCUGGGAGGACCGCCUGUUGCGAAGGCGUCUAACUGGAACGGUUCUGACGGUGAGGGACGAAAGUUGGGGGCGCGAACCGGAUUAGAUACCCGGGUAGUCCUAACUGUAAACGAUGCGGACUUGGUGUUGGGGUGGCUUUGAGCUGCUCCAGUGCCGAAGGGAAGCUGUUAAGUCCGCCGCCUGGGAAGUACGGUCGCAAGACUGAAACUUAAAGGAAUU